GUAGGUGGCAAGCGUUGUCCGGAAUUAUUGGGGCGUAAAGCGCGCGCAGGCGGUUCGUUUAAGUCUGAUGUGAAAGCCCACGGGCUCAACCGUGGAGGGUCAUUGGAAACUGGAGAACUUGAGUACAGAAGAGGAAAGCGGAAUUCCACGUGUAGCGGUGAAAUGCGUAGAGAUGUGGAGGAACACCAGUGGCGAAGGCGGCUUUCUGGUCUGUAACUGACGCUGAGGCGCGAAAGCGUGGGGAGCAAACAGGAUUAGAUAGCCUGGUAGUCCACGCCGUAAACGAUGAGUGCUAAGUGUUAGGGGGUUUCCGCCCCUUAGUGCUGCAGCUAACGCAUUAAGCACUCCGCCUGGGGAGUACGGCCGCAAGGCUG
This 374-nucleotide ribosomal RNA is filed under the name uncultured organism. Its description in RNAcentral is "partial 16S ribosomal RNA". It matches the Rfam family "Bacterial small subunit ribosomal RNA", at positions 527 to 896 of the family's 1533-position model. The record is from RNAcentral.